AAGCUAACUUCGGUUAGUGGAGAGUGGCGCACGGGUGAGUAACGCGUGGGGAUCUACCCUUUGGUACGGGAUAACGUUUGGAAACGAACGCUAAUACCGUAUAUUGUCUACGGACGAAAGAUUUAUCGCCAAAGGAUGAACCCGCGUAGGAUUAGAUAGUUGGUGGGGUAAUGGCCUACCAAGUCUACGAUCUUUAGCUGUUCUGAGAGGAAGAUCAGCCACACUGGAACUGAGACACGGUCCAG
This 245-nucleotide ribosomal RNA is filed under the name uncultured bacterium. RNAcentral's name for it is "partial 16S ribosomal RNA". It matches the Rfam family "Bacterial small subunit ribosomal RNA", at positions 71 to 334 of the family's 1533-position model. The record is from RNAcentral.